UACUUUUGCACGGUCUUAUAAUAGCUGUAAGACAUACAUAAAAAUCAUUAAACAAAUAUUGGAAUG
This 66-nucleotide non-coding RNA is filed under the name unclassified sequences. The record is from Rfam.